GGAGUCAUAGAAUUCCACUAUCAAGAUACUGUUUGGUCUGGUGUAUGAUGGGGACCCAGAUUCAUCCUCUAAGAUGGCUGUAUCCUGAAAGGAGCCAAACCUGUUGUUCUUCUAUGACAGAAGAAUAAGAGAUCACUGUCUGCCACCUAACUUCACAUAAAGUGUUGCUCUGAGUGUAUCCUGCUGUGAAGCCCAUUUUAUCUGGGUGAGGACACAUUUCGUCUCCUGACCUCUAACAAGUCUGUGAAAGCCAACAACUGCCAGCAUCACGUGAUUUGAGAGUUACAAAGAGGACAUCACCAUUGAAGGCAGGAACAAAACAUUCCCAACAGCGACACUGCCAGUUCAAAGCCACAUCUCUUCAAAGAGGAUGAAAGCAGAAACUGAACAAAAACUUCUUUCCUGGAGUUUAACUGUGGAAGGAUGGCAGGGAUGGACCAGGCUGCUUACAUGCAGUCGUGACCCCUGUUUGUAGAUGCUCUCAAGAGUCCCCACAUUUAAUUGUUGCUGCUAGAUCUCAUGCCUUGUGAAAUUGCAUUGUCAAUCAUUCUGAGGAACUGAAGAACUGCAAGUCUUAGAGGACAUGAAGAGUGAUGUUAUAUCUCUUCAAUACCUGCAUUUCGCUGCUCAGGAGAAGGCAGCUUAACCCUGCACCACAAAAGCCACUGGAGGAGAGACAAGGGCUUUGUCCUGGAUGCAUUCACAUUCUCCACUGGAUGGCAGCCAGCACGUAUGGGAGGUGGAGCAGUGCUGGGCCCACUUGGCUGAGGACUUUCCUUGGUUCUCAUAGCAGGCUGAGAGGACCAAGGAAUCAACUGUCUUCCACCUAGAACAACCCUCAAUCAAUGGCUGACAAGCUGCACAAAACUAAUGUCCAUACCCAGAGAUUACAGGCUGGCAAACUGGCUCCAUACUCUUGAUUCCUCUGUCUCAGUUUCUCAAGUAUGCAAUACUGUGUUUGGCCUCUGAAACAACUCAUUAUUGAAGGACAACGUACCCAACUAAGAACAGAAAACAUGGAUGCGAAUAUGGUUGAUUAAAACAGGUAGAAUUUAGAAUUCUAGGAUUCUCGGAUUUCAUUUCAGGAACAUAUGGCAAGCCUGUGGAAACACAGAUUGCUGCACAGAAGGCUAGAGUUUCUAGUUCAGGAGGUGGUGGAGGCUGUAUUUCUGAUGGGCUCCCAGGUCAUCCUGACGCAGCACAUCCUAAUGAGGCUCCUGCUCUAGAAACUGAAGAAGAAAAAGAAGAAAGAAAACUGGAGGUGCAGAACAUGAAAUUUGGACUUUUCUCUCUGCUUUUUGCUUUCUUUAGAACACUAAGGGACAAGGUAGUCAAAUCGUUUUUGUUGUUGUUUUUCCAGUCUCCCUGUCUACCAAGGAAUGCCUUGACAAGGUUCUGUAACCCAGGCUGGACUUGGACUGGCAUUGCUCAGGUCUUACCUUCCAACAUGACUGGGGUUAUCGAUGAGCUCGAUCACUUGGCAAGAACGUUUUUGUUUCGCAGUAGAAAUGUUAGUGUUGGAUUGAUGGAGAGCCCUAAUUUCAAACAUUCUUUUCGAUCACGUUGGAUUGUCCCUGUUGCUCUCAUUUCUUCCCAUGUCAGAUGUAGGAUCUAAACUCACUGGUGCAUUUUAUACCAGCUCACGAUAUUAUUGUACUCACACCAUUCUUUGUUUGCCCAUGCUUGUUGGCGUUUGUUCACAACUUUUUUCAGGGGCUUGUAAGGUCCUAAUUUUCUACUCAGGCAGCAGUUUAGAGCAGGUAUAGACAUUUUUCUGACAGUUUGAGUGAGACUUGAGGGGAACUCUGAGGACAUGGGCCUCAUCAGCUUGUCAACAGAAUUCUAGCAUCAGCUACAUUUUAAGUUUUUCAGCAAUUCACACAACAGGGAAACUGUGCCCCUGGUAAGCCCACUUGAGUGCUACAAGUUCUGAAACCAUGGUAAUAGCCCAGGGGUUUUGACAGAAUCUGAGUGUUGCCUACAUAAUUCACCAUAGGAAGAUUAUGUUAGCUAAAAAAAUAAAAAUAAAAGUAU
This is a long non-coding RNA of Peromyscus leucopus (white-footed mouse), 2034 nucleotides long. RefSeq lists it as uncharacterized. Lineage: Eukaryota; Metazoa; Chordata; Mammalia; Rodentia; Cricetidae. The transcript is spliced from 8 exons. The record is from RefSeq and is a predicted model, not a curated record.